Molecule: long non-coding RNA, 2591 nt
Organism: Metopolophium dirhodum (rose-grain aphid)
Lineage: Eukaryota; Metazoa; Arthropoda; Insecta; Hemiptera; Aphididae
Exons: 7
Source: RefSeq, a predicted model, not a curated record
UUUACCCACUAAUAAAAAAUAAAUAUUAUUAUUUGUCCUCAGUUUACUAUAUUUUUAUUUAGUUUUAACACAAUUGAACAGCGAAUAACCGUAAUCCAAAAUUGUGAACUUAUUUUUACAUUAACACAUAUUGUUGGAAAGUCGUCAUAAUACAGUAGGUUACAUAUUAUAACAGCUUAUAUUCUAUAAACAAAAUAUUACUUUGCUAAGUAUGUACCUAAUAUUAUUAUUAUCCUUGAAAACAAAUAUAUAUAAACACACAUUUUAUUUGUAUCUAUUAAGUUUUGUUUAAACGUUUGUCACAUUUUCGGUCUAAGGCUCUAGAGCCUACAAUGCAGUGAUACCCAACAUCUUUAUUGGCGGGCUACCUACUUUGUUUGUAUGCGGUAUUUUGCAAAAUGAUAAAAGUACCGGUACCAUGUAAACUGAAGAGGCACAUUUCCAGAAAACAUUCAACACAUUCAGACUGACCUUUGGACUAAUGCUUUCAUGACUAAACACCAAUCUUUUAAGAAUGCAUACACCUUAGGUCUAGAAUAUGUUCUAUAACAACUUCAGCUGUUUUUACUGAUCAUUGCUGAAAAUACAUUUCAAAAGUCAAAACCAACAAGUUGGUCACACUGACCAUGGACCGCCCCGUCAUGGCGCGGCGUCAACACUAUUGCCGUGGCUUGCCGAAACUGGUUCCUGGCUCGCUCUCCACUCUUCUCAAAAUCUCAACCGAGGACGUCGUUCACACCCUUUUGAGCCGUUCCCGUUACUCACGAACGCUUUACGUUGUCAUCGCGCCCUCUUUUGUCUUAACACGACACGCGUUGCUCGACCGAUCAUUCCGAAGCCACGUUUUCCCAAUCGUCCAUUGAAAACCGUUAUUAGUAAUCGCGCCCGGACCUCUCACUAUCUCAACCACGUGUACCUACACCGAGACGCAGACCGACCGAUCAUCAUCUGUACACAUAAGAAUAUAUUCGACUACUUAAAUGCGCUAAUUCUUCCUUGAACAUUAAAUUCCAUCAACAUUUUACUACCAUGAACGAUCAACACCUCGACCUUCAAAUUUCAAAACAAGCUUCAUAAAGUUGGAAUUAAAUUACUUACAAACAAUUACACAGCAGAAAUGUCAAAACCUAUUGGUAAAGUAAUUGGGUAGUAUGGAGACUAAUGUUAUUGGUCUAUAUUUAAUGGAUUUAUUCAAAAAAUGACAUACCGAAGACGGAUUAGAUCUUUAAUUAAUAUGGUUUGUUCGGAAGACAAUGGAGAGUUCUAUUGUAUUAUAGUGAAGGUUGGUUGUGGUAUUCCAGGAUAUCUUAUUUUAAAUUACAAGUUUUUCAACUGUAAAUUUGAACACUAACCCUAGUCAUAUUACUAUAGCUAGGGGUCUGCCGUACGGCUGGUCUGACACCGACUACUGCGAGCGCCUCCAAGGAUCUAAUAUAUUUGCACUCAGAAUAUGAUGAUUGCUACUUGCCUAGUAAUUUUGUAUAUAAUUCUACAAAAAAUAUAGCACAUGCACGAUGGUCUUAGCAAAAUUGGUUUUGUCACUCCUCGUGCUGCGGACUCACAGAACCAACAAAAUUAUAAAAUAGUAGCUUUACCAUUAUAGAUCCUAGUACCAAAACCUAGGAUUUUUUUGUUUCUGGUAGAUAUCUUUAAGUAUCUGCAAGUAUUAAUUAAAAAAUUACAAAGCAUCUCAUUUAAAUUAUCUCAACAUCAAUAUUGAAGAAUGAAAAAAAAAUUUGGAUUCGGACCAUAUUAACUUCUAGAUCAAUAAUAUUUUCUAUAAUUUUAACACAAUUUUGAAGAGACAACCAAUCCUAACCUACCGAUGAGAAAUAACCUUCUGUAAUUACAUUUGAAAUGAACUUUUUUUCUGAUCAACUUCAAUCAAAAAUUUGAAUUCAAUCAACAUAUCAAAUGGACAGUCCACAAUAUGCUUGCUUUAACCGCGCAAAUAAGCUGAGACAAGUAUUUGUGAAUAAAAAGUAUUAUUCUUUAAUAAAUAUAAAUAUCUAUUGUAUAAUCAGGUCAACUUAAAUGCUUCUAUAAUUACAAGCUUUAACUGUAUAAUUUUUAAUAUUUUAGAUGUGAAGGAGAUUUAAAUUUAAAUUUAAUUUUGGUUUCCAUGUGUCAAAUGUUGUUCAAAUGCCAUAAUUGUAAAUUGUAAUGUUAUAUUAUGUGUUAUUUUAGAUAUUAAUAUUAAUAAAUAUAUAUUAUAGAUACUUGACUUGAAUCAUUAUGUUUGAUAUAUUAUACAUAUUACAUAUUGUAUACCUAUUAUUAUUGUCAUACUAAAAAUAAUCACAAUAUCUAAGUAGAUACUAACUUUGACAAUUAUGUUACUAUAAAGUUAUUUUGUUUCAAAUGGUGUUAAUUGUAUUUAUGUACUUAUUUAUUUUACUUAUGUAUUUAUGAUUUAUCAGUUAUCACCAUUUGUUUAUAUUAGCUAGUCUUAUUGUGGUUGUAUGAUACGAAUAAAAAAAUGUAAUAUUAAAAUUGUAAUAAAUUAGGAAGUAAUAAACAUGUUUCAAAUACUUAUGAGUUAUAACAAAUUGAUCGAUUUAAAUAAUGCGUUAAAAUUAUAUUAUAUUUAC